Molecule: long non-coding RNA, 204 nt
Organism: Helianthus annuus (common sunflower)
Lineage: Eukaryota; Viridiplantae; Streptophyta; Magnoliopsida; Asterales; Asteraceae
Exons: 2
Source: RefSeq, a predicted model, not a curated record
CGACGGUGGAGACGGUGACGAAUUCAACAAGAAACCUCCGAAGCUGAGCUUGCUAAGGAAAAUACUAAUGGACGCAAGCUAGGCGAAGAACAUAUUUUAGCUGUCAAAAUGUUUUGCUGAGAAAUAUGGAGGGAUAGUAACAAUUUGAGAAAUAAAACAAAGAUAUGAUGACGAUGAGCUGUUGAAGAACAUAUUUUAGCUGUC